GCUCGCCUCGUCUGCUUGAGGGAGACGCCGCAGGGCCCGGCUUGCCGCCCUGCCCCGCCGGGUUUACCUCGGCCCUGGGGGCGCAAGAUGGAGAAGAGGCUUUAGCGCUGACGGCUCAGUGGAGGAGCCGUGGGCCCGCGGCCUGUCCCCGGGGCUGCCGCAGGUAGAGAUUACCUCUACAAACUGUAUGUCUCAUCCCUGAUUCUCCAGGAAUGGCCACUGGUCCCAGAUUAGUAUGUGGGUAUGCACAGAGGAUGAAGCCCUUAGUGGUAGCAUUUGUAACCCACUUGCAUAGUAUUUAGAUACAUUUCUUUUGGACAAGAUGGUUUGAAGACGUCUUUUGGGGGUUUUUUGUGUGUGUUUUGCAACUCUCAGCCUUCUAAUAUAACUGGUCAAAUGUUGUUCAAAACAGCUAAGUUCUUGUCUGUUACAGAUUCCACUGUAUUAUUGUCAGUCCUUCAUAUACUUCCACACUUGCAGUACCUCUCUCUCUGAUUAAAAGCAGGAGUAUGGAAGCUUAGAAGGUUCUGAUAAUACUCAGCAGUAGUUACACUGAUACCCUAUUUGCGAGCAGCUCGUUACUGGAGGCUGGAGCCAAUGUCACAAUUUUGUUUGUAUUAUCGUGCUGAGUCCAAACUUUACAGUUUAAAUUCAACCAGAUGUUCCUUAGCAGAGCUGCUUUGGAUCCAGCAUGCCGCAGUACAACCCCACUGAUGUGUCUUUGCUUUUAGUGCACUCCUGUUAACUUUUCUCCCAAUUACUGAAUUA
Molecule: long non-coding RNA, 768 nt
Filed under: Columba livia (rock pigeon)
Lineage: Eukaryota; Metazoa; Chordata; Aves; Columbiformes; Columbidae
Description: partial uncharacterized LOC102087517
Source: RNAcentral